This 757-nucleotide ribosomal RNA is filed under the name uncultured Neocallimastigales. Its description in RNAcentral is "partial large subunit ribosomal RNA". It matches the Rfam family "Eukaryotic large subunit ribosomal RNA", at positions 24 to 629 of the family's 3401-position model. Lineage: Eukaryota; Fungi; Neocallimastigomycota; Neocallimastigomycetes; Neocallimastigales. The record is from RNAcentral.
AUCUCUGUAGAGUCUGCAUAUCAAUAAGCGGAGGAAAAGAAACUAACAAGGAUUCCCCUAGUAACGGCGAGUGAAGCGGGAAGAGCUCAAAUUUGAAAUCUUCAAGGUUUGACCUUGACGAAUUGUAGUUUAAAGAAGUGUUUUCGGUUAGAGGAGUAGUAAAAGUUCUUUGGAAUAGGACAUCAUAGAGGGUGAGAAUCCCGUAUUUGACUAUUCUUUCUAGCUUUGUGAUACACUUUCAAAGAGUCGGAUUGUUUGGGAAUGCAGUCCAAAAUGGGUGGUAAAUUUCAUCUAAAGCUAAAUAUUGGCGAGAGACCGAUAGCGGACAAGUACCGUGAGGGAAAGAUGAAAAGAACUUUGAAAAGAGAGUUAAACAGUACGUGAAAUUGUCAAAAGGGAAGCGUUCGACACCAGUGUUGUUUUUCCGAAAAUCAAUUAAAAAUUGAUUCAUGCCAGGUUGUAUUGACCUUAUCAGCUUGCAAUUUGGUUUUGGGUCUCUUUUUGAUGCACUUUUCGGUUAACAAGUCAACAUCAAUUUCUUUUGUUGUAAAAGAGUAUUCGGAAGGUGGCUUUCUUUUCGGAGAAAGUGUUUAUAGCCCUAUACUUCUACAAUCGGAGAGAUUGAGGUCUGCAGCGUAGAUCCUUCGGGGUUAGAUACACUUGUGCUAAGUUAUAGCUUUUCAUAGACAACUUGUUGACUAUGUUUAGUCAUGCGGCUUACUCGCUUGUGCUAUUUUACCUACGCUUAGGAUGUUGA